Molecule: ribosomal RNA, 298 nt
Filed under: uncultured bacterium
Lineage: Bacteria
Description: partial 16S ribosomal RNA
Rfam family: Bacterial small subunit ribosomal RNA
Source: RNAcentral
AACUCAAAGGAAUUGACGGGGCCCGCACAAGCGGUGGUGCAUGUGGUUUAAUUCGACGCAACGCGAGGAACCUUACCUAGGCUUGACAUGUGGUGAGUAGCGAACCGAAAGGGGAGCGACCCGUCAAAUCGGGCCAUCACACAGGUGCUGCAUGGCUGUCGUCAGCUCGUGCCGUGAGGUGUUGGGUUCAGUCCCGCAACGAGACGCAACCCUCGCCCUUUGUUAGCCAUCGGGUAAAAGCCGGGCACUCUAAGGGGACUGCCAGCGACAAGUUGGAGGAAGGAGAGGAUGACGUCAA